This 254-nucleotide ribosomal RNA is filed under the name uncultured bacterium. RNAcentral's name for it is "partial 16S ribosomal RNA". It matches the Rfam family "Bacterial small subunit ribosomal RNA", at positions 524 to 776 of the family's 1533-position model. The record is from RNAcentral.
UACGUAGGGGGCAAGCGUUAUCCAGAUUUACUGGGCGUAAAGCGCGUGUAGGCGGCUGGUUAGGUGUGAUGUGAAAUCUUCGGGCUCAACCCGAAAACUGCAUUGCAAACCGGCCUGGCUAGAGUGCAGGAGAGGGAAGCGGAAUUCCAGGUGUAGCGGUGAAAUGCGUAGAUAUCAGGAGGAGCACCGGCGGUGUAGACGGCUUUCUGGACCGUAGCUGACGCUGAGACACGAAAGCGUGGGUAGCAAACAGG